RNAcentral lists this long non-coding RNA (310 nucleotides) under Lathyrus oleraceus (garden pea). RNAcentral's name for it is "Pisum sativum (pea) long non-coding RNA (PSAT_LNC037217)". Lineage: Eukaryota; Viridiplantae; Streptophyta; Magnoliopsida; Fabales; Fabaceae. The record is from RNAcentral.
UUACAAGUUACUCUAAUAGAGCUUAAAUUAAAAUUACAAAAAGUUCUUGCUGAUAAUCCCAAAAAAGUAGUUACAUAGUUCUCCAAAAAAAAGGAAGUUUCAAAUUAAAUUUACAAAAAAAAAAAAAAACUCCAAAUAAUCCAAAUUUACACAAAAAUCCAAAGGAGCAUUUGAUUAAUUUACAGGUUACAAAAAUAAUCUAAAAUUCUGAAAAUAAUUGAAUGGAGUCUAAUGGUUUGAAGAGUCUUCAGAGACUUUUUCCAAAGCCAAAGGUCCUUUCGUGUAGUGCCCCAACUCAAAAAGCCAGCGC